Molecule: ribosomal RNA, 183 nt
Filed under: Paenibacillus polymyxa
Lineage: Bacteria; Bacillati; Bacillota; Bacilli; Caryophanales; Paenibacillaceae
Description: partial 16S ribosomal RNA
Rfam family: Bacterial small subunit ribosomal RNA
Source: RNAcentral
UUAAUGGAGAGUUUGAUCCUGGCUCAGGACGAACGCUGGCGGCGUGCCUAAUACAUGCAAGUCGAGCGGGGUUGUUAGAAGCUUGCUUCUAAACAACCUAGCGGCGGACGGGUGAGUAACACGUAGGCAACCUGCCCACAAGACAGGGAUAACUACCGGAAACGGUAGCUAAUACCCGAUACA